GUAGGCCCUGCCUCUGAUGAAGCCUGUGUUGGUAGGGACAUCUGAGACUGUUGAUGAAUGCCAACGGCUCUGAUGGCGGUGC
This is a small nucleolar RNA of Vicugna pacos (alpaca), 82 nucleotides long. NCBI's taxonomy places the organism in Eukaryota, Metazoa, Chordata, Mammalia, Artiodactyla, Camelidae. The record is from Ensembl.